This 886-nucleotide long non-coding RNA is filed under the name Felis catus (domestic cat). RNAcentral describes it as "lncRNA (ENSFCAG00000052455.1)". Lineage: Eukaryota; Metazoa; Chordata; Mammalia; Carnivora; Felidae. The record is from RNAcentral.
UUAGAUAUAUUACAAAUAUGUAUUUCUUCAAAUUAUCCUAAUGCAUUUUCAUGUACCCAACUGUAAAGACAGAUAUAAAAAAUAUAUCUAUUUUUAUCAUGACAGCAUAAAUUUCUUAUGCUGUAAGGCACGUAGUUCCAUUGGUGAAAUAAUUUAACUGUCUUUUAAUAAAUAAUGACAGGUUAAGUGUCAGUGUUCUAAAGAUAGAAAUAUCCAUAUAAAACCUUCACGUGAUUUAAAUUUGUUCAUUUCUAAUGAAUUUGCUCAUUUUGUACACCUAAAAAGUUCCAUUGGAGAAACAUAAUGUAGUUCAAAAAGUAUUAUAAUUAUAAUUCUUAUGGAUUUUUACAGAAAAUGUUUAAUUUAAAGGCUGCUUCCCUUUUUUUUCAACGUGUGUCUCUGUGGGAGCAACUGAAUGCACAUAUCACAUACCCUGGGUUUCCCUUUUCCUCUUCGCAGUUGAGGAUGCACUGCUAAGGAGAAGAGAAGACAAAAUAGAGAAAACAUAAUGAUGCAAUUCCUGUCCACAGUCUUGAUCCAAAAGCUCUUAUUUUCCUGGAUUUUCAAAAAGGUUGUACACAUAUUUAUGCCCAUAUUAUUGCAAUGAAUUUCUAUACAAUCUGAAGAACACAACGUGAAAAGCAAUCUGAACUAUCUGUUGAGCAAAUGUUCUCGAAUGCUGCCGGCUGUGAAAGAUGGGGAAAUAAGAAUUUAUGGGGCCACUGGUUCUAGUCUGAUCACAACUGCUCAUGGGGACAGCGGUGCUGAACCACCAGUAUGUUUCCUGUUUUACUCAGCACGGAGUACUUUGGGUGGGACAAUCAUCGAAAUCCACUAUCAAAAACCCUGCCUUCUUCGUAAUAUACUAGCCACCAGAGGCUUGUGA